GGAAAGUGGCGAGUAAGAUGGAAUAUGAGGAGGUUGCUGAGAGCUGGGAGGAGACGGCAGACAGCGGGGAAAUAGACGUCUGGAAAAAAAACUGAAGAUCACACAGAAAGCAGGAAAUUCAAAUCUCCCAAAGUGCCCAUUGUGAUUCAGGAUGAUAAUUUUCCCCCGGGACCCCCUCCACAGGUCCGCAUCCUCAAGAGGCCCACCAGCAACGGUGUGGUCAGCAGCCCCAAGUCCGCUAGCAGGCCCGCCCUUCCAGUCAAGUCCCUGGCACAGUGGGAAGCCGAGUACACCGAGGCCAGGAAGCGGAUCCUGGGCAGCGCCAACCCGAGGAGAAGCAGGAGAAACCCAUCCUCGAUAGGUCUUCCUCUGAUCUUCUUCCCUUCAGGCCAACCAGGAUCUCCUAACCCGAAGACAGCAGACAGCCCAAUAAUGUGAUCAGACAGCCUCUGGGUCCUGAUGGGUCACACGGCUUCAAACAGCGCAGAUAAAUGCAGGCAAGAAGAGAUGGCGCGACUGCCGCGUCAACGCGUCCUGGGUCGUCCGCCAAGGGUUGCACUACCGUGGCAGACAGCUGGACUUGAGCAGCGGGAACUUGACUUACUUGCCUGGUGAUCCCCGUUGCUCCGCCCACUGUGACCUUGAAUCCCAUGCACUGUGACCUCCCCCCUUCUCCUCCUUCCCACUGUGAUUGGCACUUUGACAAGGACUGUCCCAAGUCAAUGGAAAGGGAAAAAGGGUGAGGGUUAGGAGAAGGUUGGGGGGAACCCACCAAUUACUCAGAGUAGAGAGUCAGACAGGGCCAGCAAUAGCGGUUUAUCAUGCUCAUUAAUUUGGGAUUUCAAAACACAAAUGAACUCACACCUACCCACCCCCAAGUGCAUGUCAUCACUUAAAAAGUGAGUUCCAUUUGAAAAAAAAGAAAGCAAACUACCUGCUCACUCUAAAAGCAGUUGCUGUUGUUUGUGACUUUGCCAUUUAAAAAAAUACAGACCAGCUGCUGCUGUUUGCUUGCAUUCCACAGUUAUCUUGUGUCACUUUGCCCUUUGUUGUGCUUA
Molecule: RNA transcript, 1058 nt
Organism: Homo sapiens (human)
Lineage: Eukaryota; Metazoa; Chordata; Mammalia; Primates; Hominidae
Gene: SZRD1P1
Gene name: SZRD1 pseudogene 1
Exons: 1
Source: RefSeq, marked validated